GAUGAACGCUGGCGGCGUGCCUAAUACAUGCAAGUCGAGCGAACGGACGAGAAGCUUGCUUCUCUGAUGUUAGCGGCGGACGGGUGAGUAACACGUGGAUAACCUACCUAUAAGACUGGGAUAACUUCGGGAAACCGGAGCUAAUACCGGAUAAUAUUUUGAACCGCAUGGUUCAAAAGUGAAAGACGGUCUUGCUGUCACUUAUAGAUGGAUCCGCGCUGCAUUAGCUAGUUGGUAAGGUAACGGCUUACCAAGGCAACGAUGCAUAGCCGACCUGAGAGGGUGAUCGGCCACACUGGAACUGAGACACGGUCCAGACUCCUACGGGAGGCAGCAGUAGGGAAUCUUCCGCAAUGGGCGAAAGCCUGACGGAGCAACGCCGCGUGGGUGAUGAAGGUUUUCGGAUCGUAAAACUCUGUUAUUGGGGAAAAACAUAUGUGUAAGUAACUGUGCACAUCUUGACGGUACCUAAUCAGAAAGCCACGGCUAACUACGU
Molecule: ribosomal RNA, 496 nt
Filed under: uncultured bacterium
Lineage: Bacteria
Description: partial 16S ribosomal RNA
Rfam family: Bacterial small subunit ribosomal RNA
Source: RNAcentral